GAAAAGCAGGUGCCUGCAUCCGCGCGGGCACACGCCUCAGCGGCUCGGCUGCCUUGCAGCGUGCACACGUCUCGUUUCAGGAGGGGCUCGGCUCACAAAGGAGGAGAGAAACCAGUGUGUGUCAGAUGAGCAGACAGGGCCGUGCGUGCAGAAGAGGGCAGGUGAGAGACACCUGCCACUGGGCCUCUGUGGAGGGACGUCCUCGGAGCAACUGGCCAUCCCGGGCGGCUGGCCUGCCCACCCCUCAGCACAGACCCAGGGACUCCAGGGCCCCCCCCCACACUGCACAGGGCCUGCGGGGCCUGCGGGGCAGCCAAAAAUCCACAUACACAGCCUUGACCUUCCAGUCAAUGCCAACAUUCGUGAAUGGGCGUGGCCUCUGCAGGGAUGAGCACAAGAAAGCCACGCUCUGCGACAGCGUGGGGAAGCAUUCCUGAGCGUCCUCGGCACCGAUGGCGGAAGCCUUUCCUUCCCAGUAUAAUUGGCCUUUACACUUGGUGAGUAAUGAUCACAGGAAAAGCGCGCCCUGCUGAAGCCCGGGGAAUGUAUCACUGACUUACUCAUCCAUUCCAUAAAUACUAACGCAAGCUGUUGGCACGUUUGCACCUCAGCUCAGGGCCACGUGCUCGUGAGCUGCUUGGGCU
This 644-nucleotide long non-coding RNA is filed under the name Microcebus murinus (gray mouse lemur). Its description in RNAcentral is "lncRNA (ENSMICG00000048844.1)". The record is from RNAcentral. Lineage: Eukaryota; Metazoa; Chordata; Mammalia; Primates; Cheirogaleidae.